AACUCGCCCCUCCCUCCGCAAAGGGUUCGCUAUGGAACGGGUUUUGGGGUGUGCCUCCUUCCUCCUCUCGGUCAGGGCUGCAGAGACGCAAGGAAGUAUCGGACACGGUCAGGACCGUGAACGUGACGCCGGAAUUGGAACUGAAAUGCCUUCGCUUUAAUACGCCUGUUGUUUGACUUGAGGCAACUGCGUUUCCCCCUCUGGGCCUCAGUUUCUCCAUUCCGUUAAGUGAGGACCUUGGACUGUUUCAGCGAAUCUCGUUUUUUUCAGGCGUGGACUCCUUUGAGAAUCCGGAGAGGCUCAGUAACUGACAAGGAAUGAAAAAAACCUAUUGGGACUUCCCUGGUGGCACAGUGGUUAAGAAUUCGCCUGCUAAUGCAGGGGACACGGGUUCGAGCCCUGGUCCGGGAAGAUCCCACAUGCCGCGGAGCAGCUAAGCCCAU
This is a long non-coding RNA of Balaenoptera musculus (blue whale), 443 nucleotides long. RefSeq lists it as uncharacterized. NCBI's taxonomy places the organism in Eukaryota, Metazoa, Chordata, Mammalia, Artiodactyla, Balaenopteridae. The transcript has 3 exons. The record is from RefSeq and is a predicted model, not a curated record.